UUCUGUUUAAUAGUGCACUUCAUUUAUGCUACAGGAUGAGCAGGGUUGGGAAAACACAAUGGAAGGUCAUCCCGUCGGUUGGGAAAACUCGGGGAGUGCCAUCCUCACCCAGCAACGAGCUCUGCUACCAGGCUCAGGCACAGCCUGCCUUCUCUGGGCUUCGUUUUUUUGUUUUUUUGUUUUUUUUUUCUCCCUUUUGGGCUUUGCUCUUUCUCUGCAUUAAUCUUCAGCUGCUGAAGAGUCAGAGGUGGAGGCAGGAGUGGUCUGGCUCCUGGGGCUGGGUGUCAGAGGUGAGAGGGCAGGGCAAGCAGGCCAAGUGAGCUCCUUGAAAGCAUCCUUACCCAGGCAUUUAGAGAAAAUCAUUUUCAUCAUUGGAGUGGGAAGAGGACAAGAGAGGACAGCAAUCAGAGGCCAACGCUAAGUGCUUCUGACCCUCUCCCUCACAGCCGGUUACUAGCUGUUUGGACAGAUUUGCCCAUUCAGCCCCAGGACAACUGGGGGGGAUGGCAGGGGGUCUGCUGGCAAUAUCACCAGGUUUCUCUUGGAAACAUGGUCUGGCUGCUCCAAGAGCCCUAAAGGACACCAUCAUCACAGAUGAUGAUUCUGGAAUCUCUUCUACCCUCAAUAAAAUAAUCCCUCAAUGCCAAAUUUCCAUAAUUAACGAAAUCAUGAAACAAAACAGCAUGUUUCUUACCGAAACUUAAAGCUGGACUAGGAACAGUAGCUUUGAAAUAGUCUCCCUUUACCCUCCCUAGCAAAUAACAGGACCCAGAGCGUCCUUUCCACUGCUGUCUGUGCUGACUACGCGGACUCCAACUAAAGGAAUCCAUCGAAUUCUGUCCCGACUGUGCUUCCAUCCCCACCUUGGAAAGGUUCCUCUGCUGUGAGAAAAACAGUUUAGUGCAAACUCCUUUCCUAAAUGGGGUAACUGGUCCCAGAGCUGCUUUCUAUUCCCAGCACGCCAUCCACUUGCCUUGACGCUUUCUAAGGCUGGUGUGAUUUCUGGGAAAAUUCAACGAUUUGCCCCAUCUGCCCCAUUCUCUAAAAUGAAAAGUCUGAGUUGAAAGGGACACAUCCUAAGCUGUUGAGAUUUAUAGGGUAAGGCAAGAGCUCUUGAGACUCAGGGAAAGUGAGGAAAAUGGGUGUGUGGCUCUUUCACGUGGACUCUCUGAUAUUUAACUCGGUCGUAACUCUGAGGGAGCUUUUGCUCAUGCCGAUCCCAUUCAAAGGCUUCUCUCCAGUGUGAAUUCUCUGAUGGCGAACAAGAGCCGAGCUGUACCUGAAGGCUUUCCCACACUCACUACAUUCAUAGGGGUUCUCCCCGGUGUGGAUUCUUUGAUGCUGAAUAAGGCCUGAACUGUAGGUAAACUUUCCUCCACAUUCCAUACAUUCGUAGGGCUUCUCUCCAGUGUGGAUUCUCUGGUGCUGAUAGAGGUGUGAGCUCUGGCUGAAGGCUUUCCCACAUUCAUUACAUUCAUAGGGUUUUUCUCCAGUGUGGAUUCUCUGAUGGUGAAUAAGGGUUGAGCUCCUGCUGAAGGCCUUCCCACAUUCAUUGCAGGCGUAGGGUUUCUCACCAGUGUGGAUUCUCUGAUGGUGGGUGAGGGUGGAGCUCCAGCUGAAGGUCUUCCCACACUCAUUACAUUCAUAGGGUUUCUCCCCCGUGUGGAUCCUCCGAUGCAGAAUGAGGGCAGAGCUACAGCUGAAGGCCUUCCCACACUCAUUACAUUCA
This 1729-nucleotide long non-coding RNA is filed under the name Homo sapiens (human). RNAcentral describes it as "HSALNT0126314". The record is from RNAcentral. Lineage: Eukaryota; Metazoa; Chordata; Mammalia; Primates; Hominidae.